Molecule: transfer RNA, 74 nt
Filed under: Acidobacteriota bacterium
Lineage: Bacteria; Pseudomonadati; Acidobacteriota
Also listed under: 2 other names
Description: Acidobacteria bacterium tRNA-Ala
Rfam family: tRNA
About the family: Transfer RNA (tRNA) molecules are approximately 80 nucleotides in length. Their secondary structure includes four short double-helical elements and three loops (D, anti-codon, and T loops).
Source: RNAcentral
GGGGCUGUGAUCUAACGGGAUGAUGCCUGCCUUGCAAGCAGGACGCAGAGGUUCAACUCCUCUCAGCUCCACCA